UUUCCGUAGGUGAACCUGCGGAAGGAUCAUUAAUAAAUGGCUCCUGAUUUGGAGCGCUUAAUAAUCCUACCCUUUGUGAAUUUGUUGUAUGAAAUAAUUUUUUUUAAAAUUAUUGAUUGUCUUUCCCUGUUGAAUUGGAGCGUUUUCGGACGCAAAAAUUCGCAGGGAUAGUCAGUAAUCUUUAAAAAGACCUUUUUUAAAAUUAAACCUUUUGUAUUCAUUUGUCUAAAAUUAUUUUUAUAAUAUAAAAACAACUUUUGACAAUGGAUCUCUUGGUUCUCGCAACGAUGAAGAACGCAACAAAAUGCGAUAAGUAGUGUGAAUUGCAGAAUACGUGAAUCAUCGAAUCUUCGAACGCAUAUUGCACUUUUUUAGUUUACUAAAAAAGUAUGUCUGUUUGAGUAUCAGUAAAAUAUUCUCAUAAAAACUAUUGUUUUUAUGGUUAUGAGUGUUUUACAACGAUACAAGUUGUUUCACUUUAAAUUUUUUUAAAAUAGAUUUUUUCUAAUUUUAAAAUAAAAUUGGAUAAAAUUUUCCCGUAAAAAGGAAUAACCUAAACAAUUUUAAUUUUUUAUUAGAAAAAAUCAUUUAAAGGAAAAAUUUAACAAAAUAACUUGAUCUCAAAUCAGAUAAGAGUACCCGCUGAACUUAAGCAUAUCAAUAAGCGGAGGAAAAGAAACUAACAAGGAUUCCCUUAGUAACGGCGAGUGAAGCGGGAAGAGCACAAAUUUGAAAUCUUCAAGGUUUUACCUUGACGAAUUGUAGUUUAAAGAAGUGUUUUCUGUUGAAGUUUUGGUAAAAGUUCUUUGGAAUAGGACAUCAUAGAGGGUGAGAAUCCCGUAUUUGACCAUUAUUUUCAGCUGUGUGAUACACUUUCAAAGAGUCGGAUUGUUUGGGAAUGCAGUCCAAAAUGGGUGGUAAAUUUCAUCUAAAGCUAAAUAUUGGCGAGAGACCGAUAGCGAACAAGUACCGUGAGGGAAAGAUGAAAAGAACUUUGAAAAGAGAGUUAAACAGUACGUGAAAUUGUCAAAAGGGAAGCGUUUGACACCAGUGUUGUUUCCUCGAAAAUCAAUUAAAAAUGGCUGGAUUUUGUGUUGUAUUGACCUUAACAGCUUUCUUCACUCUUUCCUGUCUUUUUAAUGCACUUUUCGUUUAACAAGUCAACAUCAGUUUCUUUUGUUGUAAAAGGGUCAUUGGAAGGUGGCUUUCUUUUCGGAGAAAGUGUUUAUAGCCUUUGAUCUCUGCAAUCGGAGAGACUGAGGUCUGCAGCGUAGACUCUUCGGGGUUAGAUACAUUUGUGCUAAGUUAUAGCUUUUUAUAGACAACUUGUUGACUAUAUUUAGUCUUGUAGCUUACUCGCUUAUGCUAUUUUACCUACGCUUAGGAUGUUGAA
RNAcentral lists this unclassified non-coding RNA (1393 nucleotides) under uncultured Neocallimastigales. Its description in RNAcentral is "partial contains small subunit ribosomal RNA, internal transcribed spacer 1, 5.8S ribosomal RNA, internal transcribed spacer 2, and large subunit ribosomal RNA". The stretch from base 616 to 1393 matches the Rfam family "Eukaryotic large subunit ribosomal RNA", at positions 1 to 630 of the family's 3401-position model. The record is from RNAcentral. Lineage: Eukaryota; Fungi; Neocallimastigomycota; Neocallimastigomycetes; Neocallimastigales.